AAAUGCAGAUCUACUCUAAACCUGAAGACCCUGUGAUAUACAGCACUAUAAAUGAUGAAAACCCAAAUGAUGCCAACAGAAGCAUAACCACAUACAGUACUAUUGAUCAUGUUCCUGGGAGAGAAGCAAAGCCUCCAGCAGGUGGAACAAUAUACAGCUCUGUGACUCCACACCAGCAGCAACAGUAAGAAGAACACAGGAAACCUCUGACCAACAGAAGGGGUGGGUGGGGUUGCUUAAAUUCAC
Carassius carassius (crucian carp) is the source of this 246-nucleotide long non-coding RNA. RefSeq lists it as uncharacterized. The record is from RefSeq and is a predicted model, not a curated record. The transcript has 3 exons. Lineage: Eukaryota; Metazoa; Chordata; Actinopteri; Cypriniformes; Cyprinidae.